ACACUGGUGGCAGAGGAGGCUGCAGGUGGAGCUGUCGGAGCCAGCCCCUCGGGGAUCUACAGCUUCCUCUCUGCGCCGGCAUCGCGGGCGCCUGGUGGCUGGAAGGACUGUGCAGCAGUCUUGCCUGCCCCAGACGUCUUGAGAGCUGAUGACAAUAACAUGGGCAAUGGCUGCUCUCAGAAGCUGGCGACUGCUAACCUCCUCCGGUUCCUAUUGCUGGUCCUGAUUCCAUGUAUCUGUGCUCUUGUUCUCUUGCUGGUGAUCCUGCUUUCCUAUGUUGGAACAUUACAAAAGGUCUAUUUUAAAUCAAAUGGGAGUGAACCUUUGGUCACUGAUGGUGAAAUCCAAGGGUCCGAUGUUAUUCUUACAAAUACAAUUUAUAACCAGAGCACUGUGGUGUCUACUGAACAUCCCGACCACCACGUUCCAGCCUGGACUACGGAUGCUUCUCUCCCAGGGGACCAAAGUCACAGGAAUACAAG
RNAcentral lists this small RNA (482 nucleotides) under Pongo abelii (Sumatran orangutan). RNAcentral's name for it is "processed transcript". Lineage: Eukaryota; Metazoa; Chordata; Mammalia; Primates; Hominidae. The record is from RNAcentral.